RNAcentral lists this ribosomal RNA (599 nucleotides) under Bacillus toyonensis. RNAcentral's name for it is "bacterial SSU rRNA". It matches the Rfam family "Bacterial small subunit ribosomal RNA", at positions 63 to 640 of the family's 1533-position model. Lineage: Bacteria; Bacillati; Bacillota; Bacilli; Caryophanales; Bacillaceae. The record is from RNAcentral.
AGAGCGAAAUGGAUUGAAGAGCUUGCUCUCAUGAAGUUAGCGGCGGACGGGUGAGUAACACGUGGGUAACCUGCCCAUAAGACUGGGAUAACUCCGGGAAACCGGGGCUAAUACCGGAUAACAUUUUGAACUGCAUGGUUCGAAAUUGAAAGGCGGCUUCGGCUGUCACUUAUGGAUGGACCCGCGUCGCAUUAGCUAGUUGGUGAGGUAACGGCUCACCAAGGCAACGAUGCGUAGCCGACCUGAGAGGGUGAUCGGCCACACUGGGACUGAGACACGGCCCAGACUCCUACGGGAGGCAGCAGUAGGGAAUCUUCCGCAAUGGACGAAAGUCUGACGGAGCAACGCCGCGUGAGUGAUGAAGGCUUUCGGGUCGUAAAACUCUGUUGUUAGGGAAGAACAAGUGCUAGUUGAAUAAGCUGGCACCUUGACGGUACCUAACCAGAAAGCCACGGCUAACUACGUGCCAGCAGCCGCGGUAAUACGUAGGUGGCAAGCGUUAUCCGGAAUUAUUGGGCGUAAAGCGCGCGCAGGUGGUUUCUUAAGUCUGAUGUGAAAGCCCACGGCUCAACCGUGGAGGGUCAUUGGAAACUGGGAGA